CUGCUGCGGAGGUGCUGCAUGGCUGUCGUCAGCUCGUGUCGUGAGAUGUUGGGUUAAGUCNCGCAACGAGCGCAACCCUUAUCNCUAGUUGCCAUCGGGUCAAGCCGGGCACUCUAGUGAAACUGCCUCAGAUAAUGAGGAGGAAGGUGGGGAUGACGUCAAGUCCUCAUGGCCUUUAUGUCCAGGGCUACACACGUGCUACAAUGGCCGGUACAAACCGUCGCAAACCCGCGAGGGGGAGCUAAUCGGAAAAAGCCGGCCUCAGUUCGGAUUGGAGUCUGCAACUCGACUCCAUGAAGCUGGAAUCGCUAGUAAUCGCGGAUCAGAACGCCGCGGUGAAUACGUUCCCGGGCCUUGUACACACCGCCCGUCACAUCACGAAAGUGGGCCGUACUAGAAGUCGGUGUGCUGACCGCAAGGAGGCAGCCGCCCAAGGUACAGCUCAUGAUUGGGGUG
RNAcentral lists this ribosomal RNA (456 nucleotides) under uncultured bacterium. RNAcentral's name for it is "bacterial SSU rRNA". It matches the Rfam family "Bacterial small subunit ribosomal RNA", at positions 1027 to 1482 of the family's 1533-position model. The record is from RNAcentral.